GUGCCAGCCGCCGCGGUAAGACGUAGGAGGCGAGCGUUAUCCGGAUUCACUGGGCGUAAAGCGCAAGUAGGCGGUUGUGCAAGUCAUGUGUUAAAGCCCCUGGCUCAACUGGGGGAGGUCAUGUGAGACUGCGCGACUUGAGGGCAACAGAGGCAUGUGGAACUCCCGGUGUAGCGGUGGAAUGCGUAGAGAUCGGGAAGAACACCCGUGGCGAAGGCGGCAUGCUGGGUUGCGACUGACGCUGAGUUGCGAAAGUGUGGGGAGCAAACGGGAUUAGAUACCCCAGUAGUCC
Molecule: ribosomal RNA, 292 nt
Filed under: uncultured bacterium
Lineage: Bacteria
Description: partial 16S ribosomal RNA
Rfam family: Bacterial small subunit ribosomal RNA
Source: RNAcentral